RNAcentral lists this ribosomal RNA (797 nucleotides) under Enterobacter hormaechei. RNAcentral describes it as "partial 23S ribosomal RNA". It matches the Rfam family "Bacterial large subunit ribosomal RNA", at positions 419 to 1218 of the family's 2925-position model. Lineage: Bacteria; Pseudomonadati; Pseudomonadota; Gammaproteobacteria; Enterobacterales; Enterobacteriaceae. The record is from RNAcentral.
GGGACACGUGGUAUCCUGUCUGAAUAUGGGGGGACCAUCCUCCAAGGCUAAAUACUCCUGACUGACCGAUAGUGAACCAGUACCGUGAGGGAAAGGCGAAAAGAACCCCGGCGAGGGGAGUGAAAAAGAACCUGAAACCGUGUACGUACAAGCAGUGGGAGCCUCUUUAUGGGGUGACUGCGUACCUUUUGUAUAAUGGGUCAGCGACUUAUAUUCUGUAGCAAGGUUAACCGUAUAGGGGAGCCGAAGGGAAACCGAGUCUUAACUGGGCGUUAAGUUGCAGGGUAUAGACCCGAAACCCGGUGAUCUAGCCAUGGGCAGGUUGAAGGUUGGGUAACACUAACUGGAGGACCGAACCGACUAAUGUUGAAAAAUUAGCGGAUGACCUGUGGCUGGGGGUGAAAGGCCAAUCAAACCGGGAGAUAGCUGGUUCUCCCCGAAAGCUAUUUAGGUAGCGCCUCGUGAAUUCAUCUUCGGGGGUAGAGCACUGUUUCGGCUAGGGGGCCAUCCCGGCUUACCAACCCGAUGCAAACUACGAAUACCGAAGAAUGUUAUCACGGGAGACACACGGCGGGUGCUAACGUCCGUCGUGAAGAGGGAAACAACCCAGACCGCCAGCUAAGGUCCCAAAGUCAUGGUUAAGUGGGAAACGAUGUGGGAAGGCACAGACAGCCAGGAUGUUGGCUUAGAAGCAGCCAUCAUUUAAAGAAAGCGUAAUAGCUCACUGGUCGAGUCGGCCUGCGCGGAAGAUGUAACGGGGCUAAACCAUGCACCGAAGCUGCGGCAGCGACACUAUG